This is a non-coding RNA of Pongo pygmaeus (Bornean orangutan), 366 nucleotides long. The record is from the annotation of a RefSeq genome assembly. NCBI's taxonomy places the organism in Eukaryota, Metazoa, Chordata, Mammalia, Primates, Hominidae.
AUGGAGUUGGGGCUGAGCUGGAUUUUCCUUCUUGCUAUUUUGGAAGGUGUCCAGUGUGAUGUGCAGCUGGUGGAGUCUGGGGGAGGCUUGGUACAGCCUGGGGGGUCCCUGAGACUCUCCUGUGCAGCCUCUGGAUUCACCUUCAGUAGCUAUCGGAUGAGCUGGAUCCGCCAGGCUCCAGGGAAGGGGCUGGAGUGGGUUUCAUACAUUAGUGGUGAUAGUAGUUACAUAUACUACGCAGACUCCAUGAAGGGCAGAUUCACCAUCUCCAGAGACAACGCCAAGAACUUGCUUUAUCUGCAAAUGAAUAGUCUGAGAGCCGAGGACACGGCUCUGUAUUACUGUGUGAGAGGCACAGUGAGGUGA